GACGAACGCUGGCGGCGUGCUUAACACAUGCAAGUCGAACGGAAAGGCCCUGCGUUUGUGGGGUUCUCGAGUGGCGAACGGGGGAGUAACACGUGAGUAACCUGCCCUUGACUGUGGGAUAACUUCAGGAAACUGGGGCUAAUACCGGAUAGGAUCUCCUGCUGCAUGUGGGUGGUUGGAGAGUGUCGGCGGUUGUGUAUGUACUCGGGGGGUAUGGGCUGGUUUGGAGGGUAGUGGCUUACCAAGGCUUCGACGGAUACCCGGCCUGGUAGGCGGAUCGGCCGCACUGGAGCGGAGACAGGGACCAGGGGCCUGCGAGAGGCAGCAGAAGGGAACGGGCGGCAACAGGCGAGAGCCUGACGGAGCAACGCGGCGUGUGUUAUGAAGGCCUUCGGAUCGUGAAGCUCUGUUACGAGUUAAGAACAGAUGUGUACGGAGCCGUGCAGAGCGUGACGGUACCGAAUCAGAAAGCCCCGGCUAACUACGUG
Molecule: ribosomal RNA, 488 nt
Filed under: uncultured bacterium
Lineage: Bacteria
Description: partial 16S ribosomal RNA
Rfam family: Bacterial small subunit ribosomal RNA
Source: RNAcentral